Molecule: long non-coding RNA, 1294 nt
Organism: Drosophila montana
Lineage: Eukaryota; Metazoa; Arthropoda; Insecta; Diptera; Drosophilidae
Exons: 4
Source: RefSeq, a predicted model, not a curated record
UUCAUCCGAGACUGUUAUCUAAAAGUGGAUCAGUAUCUCUUGCCACAGCUCGCCUAGUUUCAGUUUCCAAUUGAAACUUCGGUUUUUGUUAAUUUGCAGUGCAGCGGGAAUAGAGUUUAGCCUGCGUUUCGCAUAGAUCAUAUGUACAUGCACAGCUACAAAUAUCAUACACACAUACUUACGUUCUUACAUAUCUCCACACAUACAUAAAAAUACAAGUGUAGAAAAAUCAUACGAUUUUGUGUAUGGUUGAAUGCAUGUGUGUGGUGCAGUUGGUGAAGUUUUGAAGAGAACAGACGCGCUUCGCAUUGUGUUACCUUUCGAUUCAAAUAGCCGGUGUACAAUUUUGAAUUAUACAUUAAUAACUCUGUAUGCAGUGCUGGAAUGUUUUGUUAAACAAUAAAGAUUUAAUUUGUGUAUAUAAUUUUGUGUUAAGUCGCAUUGAAGAGUUUUGGUUGUCUCUCUAACACAUGUAUGCUACGUGCAUGUACAUACAUAUGUAUGUAUGUCUGUAUGCAAUUUUUGCUUCUGCUUUACUUCUUUGCACGUAAUCUGAGAGUAGAUCAGCCUCUUUCCGAAUUGUGUUUCAUUUUGACUUAAAUAGCCGGUGUUUAAUUGUACAUUUUUAAACGAUAUCAAUAAAUAAAAAGUAAUAAAUAUGUAUGUAUACAUAUGUGCCGUACGGGAAAGUUUUUAGAACAAUAACGAUAAAAUAAGCAUUUAUAUUUUGGGUGUUAAAUGCAGCAGUCGUAUCGAUGAGUUGUUGUUGAUUCGUAAUUAUGUUGGCCGAAUACAUGAGUUAUUUAGUUUGUGGCAAGUUGUGCAACAAGGAGACAUCAAUUUCUGUCCUUAUUUCGAAUACACAAUACAAAUCCAGCUGACAAGCCUGAUGCUGGCUCCUUCCUGAUGACGAUUCUUGAGAAGAAACUUGGAGCAUUUGUGAAGACAACAUGGGUACAGGGUAGCUGCUAGUCGGGCACCUUCGUCUGGACACCUCUUGUUAUGACCGCAUUUGGCACCGUCACGAUUCGUUUUCUGGAUAACUCCUUUGGCAACGCCUGUGUUCGCCCGGCCGAGACAACGUUUUUUUUUCUCUUUAUUUUGGCAUCGAUGGCAAUGUUGUCGCCAAUUCGAUGGCCUCCGGUGUUGGUGUAUGUCUCUUGUGUUCGUUGAAUUUGUUUUUAUUGUAAACUACACUUGGCUACAUGGAUGUGUUAAGAGUGUAAUCUUUUAUUAAACAGAAUGUACGUGACACGGCUUACAGGUGACAUACACGCACACACAGACACGCGCA